Punica granatum (pomegranate) is the source of this 616-nucleotide non-coding RNA. Lineage: Eukaryota; Viridiplantae; Streptophyta; Magnoliopsida; Myrtales; Lythraceae. The record is from RefSeq and is a predicted model, not a curated record.
AAAUUGAUAUUCGGAACCAAAAGAUACUACUUAUUAAAAAAAAAGAAGGUAAAGUUGAACUCUCAAAUCUCAUACUCAACUCUGUUCGGUUGUUCAUGUUCCACUGUUUGUUCGAAAACCUAAAUCCUAAAAUCUGCAGGUCCAAUUGCUCUCUUUGCUCUCGAGUCUCGACUAUGACUCUCCAAGGGCUCCCCAGUCCAGUCCCCUCCGUCUCCAAGUCUCCUUCAAGUUGUCUUUCCCAUACUUCUCGUCCCGGAGACUAAAGGGCUGAGCUUGGAAGAAAUCGAGUCCAAAAUACUCAAGUGAAAAGCGGAAGAGCACAAAAUAAUCUAACAUGAGUUCUCAGAUCUACAAAAAUCUCGAACAAGUAUCUGGAUGGCGUCUUUCAUGUGGGUAUUAGAUUGGAAGAGCUCUUUCCAGCAAUCUGACUAUGUUCAGUUUUAUGCGGUACUCAUUUUAUCCAUAUUGAUCUAGUUAAGACAGAGCAGAAGGUCUUGGCAACUGGUUUCUUCUUCGAGACAUAUAUUCGUCAUCUAUUCGUAAAAAUUACGAUUAAUGUAAAUUCACGUAACACUCGAUAUUAUUACGGUUAAUGAGAUAUUAUUUUUUAUUGUUU